Molecule: long non-coding RNA, 542 nt
Organism: Nicotiana tabacum (common tobacco)
Lineage: Eukaryota; Viridiplantae; Streptophyta; Magnoliopsida; Solanales; Solanaceae
Source: RefSeq, a predicted model, not a curated record
UGCUGGAACAGAAGGCCAAAGUGAAAGAAUACAAAAGCAGAAAAACUCUCUGGGGUCAGCCCUCUCUCUAGAAAUCAGUUCUCUCCUCGGCAAAAAUUUCACCCAAAUCAAAAUCCCUCAAAUCAAAAUGUGAAUCUCAUUUGUCAGGAAUACAACAAAAAUAAUCACACAGAAAGAAUCAUUUAAAGCGUACUUGGUAUUAUUAUUAUUGAUUCCCGGUCUUGAUAGAAUCUUAUCUCUUUUCCAAGAUCCCGAAGCAGCACUUAGACCAUAGCAUUUGGGUGGCUGCUUUCAGUCCAACUAGAGAUCCCGAGGUAGUCCUGCAGGCGUCCGCAGGCCCAACGUUCUCUUCUAUCUUAUUAUGUGUUAUGUUUUCACUUGUAUCCAAGAUAGAUUUUAUUCCCUAUUUCAGACACUUGUAUGUAGUACUCAUAUACAGUCCGUGAUAUUGUGACACCGGAUUUCGGUUAGAGACAUACGUUGGCAUUGUAGUACCAGCUUUGGUUAUUUUAUCAGUUUAAGUCUUCCGCUUGUUUUAUUUA